This 111-nucleotide ribosomal RNA is filed under the name Pteropus alecto (black flying fox). The record is from RNAcentral. Lineage: Eukaryota; Metazoa; Chordata; Mammalia; Chiroptera; Pteropodidae.
GUCUACAGCCAUGCCACCCUGAACACGCCCGAUCUUGUCUGAUCUUGGAAGCUAAGCAGGGUUGGGCCUGGUUAGUACUUGGAUGGGAGACCACCUAGGGUCCUGUAAGCA